UGUAGCUCAGUGGUGGAGCACUUGCUUACCAAGCCUGAGGACCUGGGUUUGACCCCCAGCA
Molecule: transfer RNA, 61 nt
Filed under: Urocitellus parryii (Arctic ground squirrel)
Lineage: Eukaryota; Metazoa; Chordata; Mammalia; Rodentia; Sciuridae
Also listed under: 1 other name
Description: Spermophilus parryii (Arctic ground squirrel) tRNA
Rfam family: tRNA
About the family: Transfer RNA (tRNA) molecules are approximately 80 nucleotides in length.
Source: Rfam by way of RNAcentral